Camellia sinensis is the source of this 3006-nucleotide non-coding RNA. Lineage: Eukaryota; Viridiplantae; Streptophyta; Magnoliopsida; Ericales; Theaceae. The record is from RefSeq and is a predicted model, not a curated record.
AAAGAUUAAUCAAUUUAUCAACUAAUCAAUUUAUUGUAUUGUGAUUAAUGUGUUGUGAUUAAAAAAAUAGAAAAUUGAUUGAUUAAUUAAUUGAUAAAUUGAUUCAUAAGUUAAUCAAUUUAUUAAUGUGAUGAAUUAAUAAAUUGGUCAAAGUUUUUUCUUGAAAAAAUAAUGUAACAUAAGAAUGAAUGUAAUGGAAUGUAAUGUACAUUAAUUAAUUAAUUCAUCAUUAAUUAAAAAAAAUAGAAAAUUGAUUCAUACAUUACAUACAUUAAUUAAUUCAUCACAUAACAUACAUUACAUUCAUUAUACUGAAAUUGUUUUUCUGUUAUUUAUUUUUUGUGUUGUGUAGUAAGUACUAAGUAGAAAAUGACAUUGGAAAGUAAUAGAAAAGAUCCGGCGUGGCAAUAUGCCCAUUUGGUGGAAAAGAAUAAUUUAAACAAGUUUGAGUGUAAUUUUUGUGGUAAAGUAUCAAACGGAGGUGUUUAUCGGGUGAAACAACACCUUGCGGGAGGUUAUAGGAAUGCUACUGCUUGCCCGAAGUGUCUUUCUCAUGUAAGAGAAGAGAUUAGAGAGUUCAUGUCCAAAAAAAAGACUAAAAAAAAAAUGAACAUGUUGCCUGAUUUUGAUGACAUGGACAUGGAAGAUGAAGAUGUUGUUGAGAUCAAUGUCAAUCAACACCACAAGUUGACAAGUAGUAGCCAAGGUUCAUCCAAAUCCAAAUCCAAAUCAAAAAUGCCAAAGAGAAAAUGGCCUAUUGAUGUUUACUUUACACCCAAUCCUGAAUCAGUGGUGAAAAAUCGAAGAGACCAAGCAAAAGGGAAACAAACAAAAAUUGAUGCAAAUGACCCUUACAAAAAAGAAAUGAGAGCUCGGGCACUGCAAAGAUUUGCAAGGUGGAUGUAUGAUGCUGGUAUCCCUUUCAAUGCAACAAAUUAUGAGAGUUUUGGACCAAUGAUUGCAGCCAUUGGCCAAUAUGGUCCUGGUAUGAAGCCACCGACUUACCAUGAAGUACGGGUUACCCAACUCAAAAAAGAAGUGAAACAUACUGAAGAUUUGAUGAAGUAUCAUAAAGAGGAUUGUGCAAAAUACGGGUGUUCCAUAAUGGCUGAUGGUUGGACUGGUAAGAGAGGAAGGACAUUGAUUAACUUCUUAGUUAAUUGUCCAAGAGGAACCAUGUUUGUUGAGUCGAUUGAUACUUCUAGCUAUUCAAAGGAUGGACAAUAGCUAUUUGAAUUACUAGACAAGUUUGUGGAGAAAGUUGGAAAAGAGAAUGUGGUGCAAGUUAUCACUGAUAGCGCUGCAGCUAAUGUGUUGGCGGGUAAGAAUAUUUCCUCAUUCCUUGCAUUAAAAUUGUUUACUCAUUGUUUUGUAUUUAAAAUUUAAAAACUUGAAAAUAAUAAUUCUUCAUUAUUGUUACAUUAUAGGGAGGUUUUUGGAAGAUAAGUAUGAACACAUGUAUUGGACACCAUGUGCUGCUCAUUGUUUGGACUUGAUAUUAGAAGAAAUUUUCAAGAUACCUAGACUGAAAAAGACAUUUGAAAGGGGUAUUGCAGUACAUGGCUACAUUUACAAUCGGCCUACGUUGCUAAACAUGAUGAGGCGCUAUACAAAUUUGAAGAAUUUGAUCAAGCCUGCAAAAACUAGAUUUGCAACCGCUUUUUUUACUUUGUCUAGGAUGCAUCAACAAAAAAACAAUUUGAGAAAGAUGGUCACCUCCGAAGACCGGACCUCAAGCAAAUGGGCAAAGUAGCCACAAGGUAAAAGAAUGGCACAAACUUUGUUGAUGCCUUCAUUUUGGAAUACUGUUGUGUUUGCCCUUAAGGUCUCAGGUCCUCUUGUCAAAGUGCUUAGAUUGGUUGAUAUCGAGAAGAAACCUUCCAUGAGAUACAUUUAUGAGGCAAUGGAUAGGGCAAAAGAAUGCAUUGCAAGUUCAUUUGAUCAUAAAGAAGAGAAGCAUAAUGAAAUCUUCGAAAUUAUUGACAAAAGAUGGGAUGUCCAAUUGCAUCGACCUUUACAUGCAGCUACGCAUUUUCUUAACCCAGAAUUCUUUUACCCAAAAGCGUUAGAGGUGCAAAGAGAUCAUAAAGUGAUGAAUGAGUUUUAUGAAUGCAUGCAAAGGUUGUCCCGGAUGUCACUGUUCAAGAUUUGAUCACUAAUGAGAUGAGUAUUUAUAUGAAGGCUGAGAGUCUUUUUAACAAGGCUGUUGCGAUUAGGCAAAGAAAUACAAGAGCACCAGCUGAUUGGUGGGCAUCAUAUGGUUCUUAUACUCCAAACUUGCAAACUUUUGCCAUAAAAGUCCUUAGCCUAACAUGUAGUUCAUCGGGUUGUGAACGAAAUUGGAGUGUAUUCGAACAUCUUCAUAGCAAGAAAAGAAAUAGAUUGGAACAACAACGUCUCAAUGAUUUAGUGUAUGUCAAAUACAAUAGAACAUUGAGAUUUAGGUAUGACAUGCGCAACACUCUUGAUCCCAUAUCUUUGCAAAAUAUUGAUGAAAGCAAUGAGUGGUUGCUUGGGAGGAUGGAUGGAUGGAGAAUCAGAUGAAGAUAAUGAGCCUAUGUUUGAUGAUGAUGAUGGCUUGACGUGAGCCACUGAUGCUAGAGCUUCUGGAGUAGAAAAAAGUAGCCAUGCAAGUAGAGCAACAAGUUCACGCUCAAAGGCACAACCGAUGAUAUCUAAAUCAUCAACAUUGACUCCACUUCAAUUAAUAGAUGAAGAGGAAGCGGGCUCAGAUGACACAGAGGAGGAAGAUGUUGAGGGAUACAAAUCAACUGAUGGAGAAGAAGAUGAUAGCUUGCUUGCCAUUGAUGUUGAGGAUAAUGAUUGACUGACACCGACCUAACCUACCCUUUCUUUUGAUAUUGAUGCUUUUAAGUGUUAAGACAUAUAUUAAUAUUUGUUGGAUAUUUAUGUUUUGGAUAUUUAGUGUUUAUGUUUUUAUUUUAUUGAAUGCGGAUUAUUUGAUCUUUGAAAAUUGAAAUGUUAUGUAAUAUGCACUUUCAUGGC